This is a non-coding RNA of Vigna umbellata (rice bean), 447 nucleotides long. NCBI's taxonomy places the organism in Eukaryota, Viridiplantae, Streptophyta, Magnoliopsida, Fabales, Fabaceae. The record is from RefSeq and is a predicted model, not a curated record.
UGAGAGACUGAAUGAAACGUUGCGUUUGAGUGAAUUGGAGCUGCUGAUUUCAAAAUUUCAAAGGGCGACCAUUUCAUUUUGAAAGCUGCAAUUUUCAUGCUAGGGUUAGGAUUGAGAGAGAACGCAAGAAAGAAAGAAAAAGAGAGAAGUCCAUGGUUGCCACCGGAGGGUGGACGUGAUCGGAGACGUUCUUACCGGCAAAGUCGAAGGCGAAGGAGAAGUUGCUACUGGUCGUGAACGGUGUGCAGCGCGGAAGGGGAAGGUUGUGAGAGAAAGUUGCGGUAGGGAGAAGAGCAAAUGUUGAAUCGGUAACAAGUUUGAUAGCUGUUGAGUGAGAUGCAUUGAGAAAACAAGUUUGGUAGUUAGAGAGUGAACACAAGAGCGAAGAAUGAGAUACAUGAAAUUUGAAGCUAGGGUUGCGGAAAAGGGGAAAUCGAACAAGGUAUG